Molecule: ribosomal RNA, 253 nt
Filed under: uncultured bacterium
Lineage: Bacteria
Description: partial 16S ribosomal RNA
Rfam family: Bacterial small subunit ribosomal RNA
Source: RNAcentral
UACAGAGGCCCCAAGCGUUACUGAGAAUCACUGGGCUUAAAGGGUGCGUAGGCGGUCCGGUAAGUGCGUUGUGAAAUCCCUGGGCUCAACCCAGGAAAUGCUUCGAAUACUGGCGGACUUGAGGCUAGUAGAGGUCACUGGAACUGACGGUGGAGCGGUGAAAUGCGUAGAUAUCGUCAGGAACGCCGGUGGUGAAGACGGGUGACUGGGCUAGUUCUGACACUGAGGCACGAAAGCGUGGGGAGCGAACGGG